This 2981-nucleotide long non-coding RNA is filed under the name Equus caballus (horse). RNAcentral describes it as "lncRNA (ENSECAG00000056970.1)". Lineage: Eukaryota; Metazoa; Chordata; Mammalia; Perissodactyla; Equidae. The record is from RNAcentral.
UACAGCAAUACCUAGAAAAGUGUUUGAUUGAAUAGCUGGACACUGUGGCAGUUAUCAUCUGAACUUGUUACCCCAAAAUUCAUAUGUUGAAACGUAACCCCCAGGGUGAUGUUGUUAGGAGGUGGUUCCUUUAAGAGGUGAUUGGGUCAUGGGGGCAGAACGCUCACGAAGGGGAUUAGUGCCCUUAUAAAGGAGGACUGAGGCCUCUCACUUGGUGCUUCUACCAUGGGAGGAUACGAGGAGGAAUCUGCGACUCAGACGAAGCCUUCACCUGAGCAUCCUGACACCCUGAUCUCAGAACUAUGAGAAUUGUAGGUCCUUCCAGUUCUUCCACAUGGAAUGCUGCCUCAGCAUGGCUCGAUGAGCAGUGCCAGGUCGACGCCCAGGAUCCAAACUGGAAUAAAGCCCUUUAUCCAGAAGCUGGCAGGAAAAGAAGCCCUGUGUUCUUGGAGAUGACACUGUGGAGUUUCCAUCUUGCUGAGCUGGGAGGUAGAAGAAUGGAGUUGGGUCCCUGCCCACAUAACCAUCCACUGACUUGGAAUGCUCAAUUUGGACUGUUUCAAGGGAACUGGAGCAGAGGCAUGAGACUCAGGGGUACUGCUCACUGCAGAAGAAGAGACAGCUGCAUUCCAAAAAACAGAGAUAUGAAGUGAAAUUCAGCACAUGGAAUGGCUUUAAAUUUUUGAUACUGGAUCAAGGAUGGCAGCGCGUUAUAAAACAGCUGAACAAGGAAGCAAGACAUGAGAGCAGACUAGUAAAGAGAGAUAUUAAUGGGAUCACAAUGAAGCAGAGAUCACAAAAGUAAACAAAAUCCAGAGAACAUAAAAUUGGAGUUCCGAGUCUGGGGGGAGAUCUAUGUGAAUAAUCACCAGCCAGAAAUCUGCAAGACCGAAGGAUCAAGAAGAAUGGCCAAGCAAAGCAGUCUCUGGUCAAAGUCCAAAGAACUAACAGAAAUUUGCAUUGCGCUAACACUGGGAAGUGAGGGACACUGCGAAGAGCUUCCCCAUAGAAUUUAGAAGACCUCAUUUACUCUGUAUUCUCGCCCACCUCCACCUGUGGCAACCUGAGCUAAAGACGGCUAAUAGAAUAGGAGUUUAAGAACCUUGGCAAAGUUAUUUUUUCCCUCUGACAUCACAUAUAUAUGGUCGCAUAUAUGUACGUCACCACAUGACAUAUAAUUAAUUAUAUUCAUAAUUAAUAGAACUAGCAUUCACAUAGCACUUGUCAUGAUUCUGACAUCUAAACAGUGGUAGUUCUUCAUGUUUCUAGACCAGAGUUGUUGUUCUAUGUUAGAGGCAAAGACCAUGACAAUUCACUUGCUUUGUCUGGCACUGAUGGAUAAGUACUUCUGACAAUACUGUUAAACAAACUUGGUGAUUUAAAAUUCAUGUGUUCAAAUAUUUAUAAAGUAGGAGGUAGAGAUAAAAAAAUUUAUGAAAAGGUCAAUUUUUAACUAUUAAAUUUACAAAAACUACAAAUGUUAAUGCACAGUCCUUUAUACAAGGAAUAAUUGAAGGAGAAGCAGCCUAGUAAAUUCAAUAUGCGUGGCUUACAAUAGUCAAAAAAUUUAGAAUCAUCUUAAAUGCUCAAUAGUAUCAAGACUAUUAUCAUUUUAAAUAUGUUGUAGCAACAUGAUAGAAUUUAUAUAUAGUAACUUAAGAAAAGGGCAAGAUAAAAAUGAUACACUAAAAUCGCAAAUGUUAAAAUAUAUAGCCAUAAAACCUAAAGAGACUGUACAUACCUGUUGGUAAAUGACAAUGUAUAUGAUUUUUCUCUUCUUUUAAACUUCAUGUAAUGCUAUAUAUGGUUUUAAAUAGACAUGGGAUUAAUAAAUCUUAUUUAUUAAUUUGUAUUAUUUCAGUAAUAUCUGGGAAACCUGCAAGAUAAAUAUUGUUAUCUCCACUAAAAUAGGAGGAAGAGAAGAAAGAGGAGGAGGAGGAGGAGGACGACGAGGAGGAAAUGAUGGUUAAACUGGUCACACAAUUAUUAGGUAGAAGAUUCAGAUUUGAGACGUGAUUGGUCUGCCUCGGAAACUUACCACCUUUACUCUAUGUUAUGCUUUCUCCGUGCUACCUUCACGCCUUAGAGCCCCAUACAAUUUUUUUCCAGGGCACAACCUUUCAUUUCUGAUGGAGAAUGGUAAGUAGACAUAAUUCAUGAUAAUUCAGCAUUGGCUGAAUGCAAAAGCCUUCAAACCUUCCCAAGUUUCCCUCACUCACUCCCGAUACAGGCCUCAAGUUCUUCCUCGUGAAAGCAUUUCUAUUUCUUGAUAGAACUAAACGGCAUCCCCCAAAUUUAGUCUUUUUCUAUCAGUGAAAUUUUAAAAAUUGGAUGGAGAAAGUGGGUUCUCUCAAAAUCUGUAUUCUCAUACUGAAAUAUAUGUUCUUAAUUUUGAAAUAAUGUUAGAUGUAUAAGUUGCAAAAAUAGUACAGAGGUUUCUGAAUAUCUAUCAGCUUCUGCUAAGCUUAACAUCUGACAUACAAUACAUAGUAAAAUUAUCAAUACCAGGAAAUUAACAUUGAUACAAUCUUAUUAAUUAAAUUAUAGAUCAUAUUCAAAUUUCACCAGUUUUUCCACUAAUGUCCUCUUUCUGUUUCGGGAUACAAUCCAGGAUUCCACAUUGCAUCUUUUUAAAUUUCCCCUUAAUCUUUUCCAAUCUGUAACAGUUCCUUAGUCUUUCCUUAUUUUUUAUGACCUUGGCACUUAUGAGUAGUACUACUGAUUAGUUAUUUUGUAGGAUGUCCUUUAAUUUGGGUUUGUCUACUGUUUUCUCACGAUUGGACUGAGGUUAUGAAUGUUUGGUAUAAAUGCCACAGAAAAGACAUUGAGAAUGACACACAUUUCUCAAUGUAUUGUAUCAAAAAUAACAUCUGUGUGUCUUUUUACUGUCGCUGUUUAUCUUGAUCACUUGGUUUAAACGUUUGCUUAGCUACUAUCUUUCCAUUUGCAGUUAAUAAAUAUCUUGGAGUAAAUGCUUUGAA